This 686-nucleotide ribosomal RNA is filed under the name uncultured Bacillota bacterium. Its description in RNAcentral is "bacterial SSU rRNA". It matches the Rfam family "Bacterial small subunit ribosomal RNA", at positions 9 to 678 of the family's 1533-position model. Lineage: Bacteria; Bacillati; Bacillota. The record is from RNAcentral.
GAGUUUGAUCCUGGCUCAGGACGAACGCUGGCGGCGUGCCUAAUACAUGCAAGUCGAGCGAAUUUUUGGGAGCUUGCUCCCAAAAAUGAGCGGCGGACGGGUGAGUAACACGUGGGCAACCUGCCUGUAAGACUGGGAUAACUUCGGGAAACCGGAGCUAAUACCGGAUAAUUCUUUUCCUCACAUGAGGGAAAGCUGAAAGACGGUUUCGGCUGUCACUUACAGAUGGACCCGCGGCGCAUUAGCUAGUUGGUGAGGUAACGGCUCACCAAGGCGACGAUGCGUAGCCGACCUGAGAGGGUGAUCGGCCACAUUGGGACUGAGACACGGCCCAAACUCCUACGGGAGGCAGCAGUAGGGAAUCUUCCGCAAUGGACGAAAGUCUGACGGAGCAACGCCGCGUGAGUGAUGAAGGUUUUCGGAUCGUAAAACUCUGUUGUUAGGGAAGAACAAGUAUCGGAGUAACUGCCGGUACCUUGACGGUACCUAACCAGAAAGCCACGGCUAACUACGUGCCAGCAGCCGCGGUAAUACGUAGGUGGCAAGCGUUGUCCGGAAUUAUUGGGCGUAAAGCGCGCGCAGGCGGUCCUUUAAGUCUGAUGUGAAAUCUCGCGGCUCAACCGCGAGCGGCCAUUGGAAACUGGGGGACUUGAGUGCAGAAGAGGAAAGCGGAAUUCCACGUGUAG